CCAGCAGCCGCGGUGAUACGUAGGGAGCAAGCGUUGUUCGGAUUUACUGGGGCGUAAAGGGUGUGUAGUGUGCUUGGUAAGUCCAGUUGUGAAAUCCUUACUGCUCAACAGAAGAAUGGCAAUUGAUACUACCAGGCUAGAGUUCGGUAGAGGAGAGCGGAAUUCUCGGUGUAGCGGUGAAAUGCGUAGAUAUCGAGAAGAACACCAGUGGCGUAGGCGGCUCUCUAGCCCGAUACUGACACUGAAACACGAAAGCGUGGGUAGCGAACGGGAUUAGAUACCCCGGUAGUCCACGCCGUGAACGAUGGGUACUAGGUGCAGGUGGUAUCGAUCCCUUCUGUGCCGAAGCAAACGCGUUAAGUACCCCGCCUGGGGAGUACGGCCGCAAGGCUAAAACUCAAAGGAAUAGACGGGGGCCCGCACAAGCGGUGGAGCAUGUGGUUUAAUACGACGCAACGCGAAGAACCUUACCAGGGCUUGACAUGCUGGUGGUACUGGCUCCGAAAGGAGACAGGACCCUUCGGGGAGCCAACACAGAUGUUGCACGGCUGUCGUCAGCUCGUGUCGUGAGAUGUUGGGUUAAGUCCCGCAACGAGCGCAACCCUUGUCCUUAGUUGCCAGCAGGUAAUGCUGGGGACUCUAAGGAGACUGCCUGUGAUAAGCAGGAGGAAGGUGAGGAUGACGUCAAGUCAUUGUGGCUCUUACGCCCUGGGCUACACACGUGCUACAAUGGUCGAUACAAUGGGUAGCAAUGCCGCGAGGUGGAGCCAAUCCCCAAAAGUCGGCCUCAGUUCGGAUUGGAGUCUGCAACUCGACUCCAUGAAGUCGGAAUCGCUAGUAAUGGCGCAUCAGCUACGGCGCCGUGAAUACGUUCCCGGGCAUUGACUCACCGCCCGUCACAUCACCUGAGUUGAUUGCACCUGAAGUCACUGGUCUAACAUUCGGG
This 946-nucleotide ribosomal RNA is filed under the name uncultured organism. Its description in RNAcentral is "bacterial SSU rRNA". It matches the Rfam family "Bacterial small subunit ribosomal RNA", at positions 508 to 1446 of the family's 1533-position model. The record is from RNAcentral.